GAGAAUGAUACUCUAGGAGGAUCUCUGGGAGCAGUUGGGUGACACCUGUUGGUUUGGAACCUAGGAAAAGGGCAAUGAAGUCAGAACCGAAGGAAAUAUGCGUAGAAGUCUGACUUGUUCCUUUUGUAUUUUAGUAAGAUAGAGAUGAGACAAUACAUGUCCAUGGACUUUAUGUGCUGUGUUUGUAACCAUUUUUUUUCUUGCUCUGGUGUUUAAUGGUUACCUUUCCACAAGACCAGUUUUUCCUAUGUCACAGCAAACAUCAAAGCCCUGAUUUUUGAUUGGUUAGUAUCUUCUGGGACUUGGGAAUGCAAGAGUCUUAUUAGGUCUGGGCACUGGCUAAGAUGCAAG
Molecule: long non-coding RNA, 351 nt
Filed under: Homo sapiens (human)
Lineage: Eukaryota; Metazoa; Chordata; Mammalia; Primates; Hominidae
Description: HSALNT0276121
Source: RNAcentral